AUUGAACGCUGGCGGCAGGCCUAACACAUGCAAGUCGAGCGGAUGAAGGGAGCUUGCUCCUGGAUUCAGCGGCGGACGGGUGAGUAAUGCCUAGGAAUCUGCCUGGUAGUGGGGGAUAACGUCCGGAAACGGGCGCUAAUACCGCAUACGUCCUGAGGGAGAAAGUGGGGGAUCUUCGGACCUCACGCUAUCAGAUGAGCCUAGGUCGGAUUAGCUAGUUGGUGGAGUAAAGGCCUACCAAGGCGACGAUCCGUAACUGGUCUGAGAGGAUGAUCAGUCACACUGGAACUGAGACACGGUCCAGACUCCUACGGGAGGCAGCAGUGGGGAAUAUUGGACAAUGGGCGAAAGCCUGAUCCAGCCAUGCCGCGUGUGUGAAGAAGGUCUUCGGAUUGUAAAGCACUUUUAGUUGGGAGGAAGAGCAGUAAGUUAAUACCUUGCUGUUUUGACGUUACCAACAGAAUAAGCACCGGCUAACUUCGUG
RNAcentral lists this ribosomal RNA (484 nucleotides) under uncultured bacterium. RNAcentral's name for it is "partial 16S ribosomal RNA". It matches the Rfam family "Bacterial small subunit ribosomal RNA", at positions 30 to 507 of the family's 1533-position model. The record is from RNAcentral.